AAUAGAUACCCUGGUAGUCCACGCCGUAAACGAUGAGUGCUAAGUGUUGGGGGGUUUCCGCCCCUCAGUGCUGCAGCUAACGCAUUAAGCGCUCCGCCUGGGGAGUACGGUCGCAAGACUGAAACUCAAAGGAAUUGACGGGGGCCCGCACAAGCGGUGGAGCAUGUGGUUUAAUUCGAAGCAACGCGAAGAACCUUACCAGGUCUUGACAUCCCGGUGACCACUAUGGAGACAUAGUUUCCCCUUCGGGGGCAACGGUGACAGGUGGUGCAUGGUUGUCGUCAGCUCGUGUCGUGAGAUGUUGGGUUAAGUCCCGCAACGAGCGCAACCCUUAUUCUUAGUUGCCAUCAUUCAGUUGGGCACUCUAAGGAGACUGCCGGUGGUAAACCGGAGGAAGGUGGGGAUGACGUCAAAUCAUCAUGCCCCUUAUGACCUGGGCUACACACGUGCUACAAUGGACGGUACAAACGGUUGCCAACCCGCGAGGGGGAGCUAAUCCGAUAAAACCGUUCUCAGUUCGGAUUGUAGGCUGCAACUCGCCUACA
RNAcentral lists this ribosomal RNA (545 nucleotides) under uncultured bacterium. RNAcentral describes it as "bacterial SSU rRNA". It matches the Rfam family "Bacterial small subunit ribosomal RNA", at positions 777 to 1320 of the family's 1533-position model. The record is from RNAcentral.